GACGAACCGUGCGAACGUUAUUCGGAAUCACUGGGCUUAAAGCGCGUGUAGGCGGGAGGGCACGUCCGUUGCUGAAAUCCCCCGGCUCAACCGGGGAACGGGCGCGGAUACGACUCUCCUUGAGGGGCGUAGGGGGACCUGGAACUUCCGGUGGAGCGGUGAAAUGCGUUGAGAUCGGAAGGAACGCCCGUGGCGAAAGCGAGGUCCUGGACGCCAUCUGACGCUGAGACGCGAAAGCCAGGGGAGCGAACGGG
Molecule: ribosomal RNA, 254 nt
Filed under: uncultured bacterium
Lineage: Bacteria
Description: partial 16S ribosomal RNA
Rfam family: Bacterial small subunit ribosomal RNA
Source: RNAcentral